This 91-nucleotide transfer RNA is filed under the name Bacilli bacterium. RNAcentral describes it as "tRNA-Ser". It matches the Rfam family "tRNA". From Rfam's summary of the family: Transfer RNA (tRNA) molecules are approximately 80 nucleotides in length. Their secondary structure includes four short double-helical elements and three loops (D, anti-codon, and T loops). Further hydrogen bonds mediate the characteristic L-shaped molecular structure. tRNAs have two regions of fundamental functional importance: the anti-codon, which is responsible for specific mRNA codon recognition, and the 3' end, to which the tRNAs corresponding amino acid is attached (by aminoacyl-tRNA synthetases). tRNAs cope with the degeneracy of the genetic code in two manners: having more than one tRNA (with a specific anti-codon) for a particular amino acid; and 'wobble' base-pairing, i.e. permitting non-standard base-pairing at the 3rd anti-codon position. RNAcentral also lists the same sequence under 1 other name. Lineage: Bacteria; Bacillati; Bacillota; Bacilli. The record is from RNAcentral.
GGAGUAGUACUCAAGAGGCUGAAGAGGCGCCCCUGCUAAGGGUGUAGGUCGGGCAACUGGCGCGAAGGUUCAAAUCCUUUCUACUCCGCCA